UCAACUGGGAAUGUGCUUCUGAGAAUGAAGCCAUUGUUGAACAGCGGUGACUGCCGUGUUGCAACAGCGGCGUUUCUGUGGCGCUCAACUACAGGCUGCAUUCUUUGUGUUGUGGGACCUGAGCUGAAACAGUCAGCUCACAAAAACGAUCGCAGGAGGGAAGGCACGCACUUCACUUGCUUUAAUAAACUGCCGUUGUAGAGAGAUUAGAAAUUAUUUCCCCGUAAGUCUGAACUUACAUAAGAGUUACUGGGAACGGUGACUUCUGACCCCGCUGGAGAGCAUUGUCUCUGAGCAGGAAGUAACUAGGGAAUAAGUGUCCUGGUGUUAUGAUUGAAGGUGGAGCUCUGACCCAAGACACGCUGAAACAGACAUGCCUCGUAAGGAGAGGAGGUGGAAGCGGCGACAGAAAGAGCUACUUGAGGCAGCCUAAGGCAGUGGGUCCCUCACCAGCUGGAUAAAAAAAGAGUACAGGCUCAAGGAACAAGUACAUUCUAGGAGGAGCUCAUGCCAAAAGUUCAGAUCAGCCAUCCACCAGCAGUUCAAGAGCUCAAGAUCAGUUGUCAGCCAUCACGUCUGACCCUUCUACAACAUCACCCAGCCCUGACCAGGAUCAGACCGAGCACAGCCCACAGCCAGCGCUUCUGAAGGCAGAGUGAGUCCUGGCUCUGAAAAAGCAUCUGAAAAUUACAUUGGAGAAACACGUGUGCCACAACCGGUGCUUGUGGUGUGUGGACCUGUUACGUAGUUCUAAAUAACAACAAUAUGGAGUUCCUGUGUUGUGUAUGUUGUAUUAUGUAAAUAUCAGUCCUACUUUUUGGAAAUAAUAAGCAGUUUGUGCAUACAAGAGAAUUAAAGAGAAUUUAAGGUGAAGCGCUUGCA
Molecule: long non-coding RNA, 882 nt
Organism: Nothobranchius furzeri (turquoise killifish)
Lineage: Eukaryota; Metazoa; Chordata; Actinopteri; Cyprinodontiformes; Nothobranchiidae
Source: RefSeq, a predicted model, not a curated record